This 674-nucleotide long non-coding RNA is filed under the name Physcomitrium patens. RNAcentral's name for it is "long non-coding RNA (PPAT_LNC000386)". Lineage: Eukaryota; Viridiplantae; Streptophyta; Bryopsida; Funariales; Funariaceae. The record is from RNAcentral.
AGAGUUCGGUUAUGGUUUGAUUUAGGAUUUAAGAUUUGAUUAAGGUUUGAUUUAGGGUUUAGAAUUUGGUUAAGAUUUGAUUUAGGAUUAUGGUUGGAUUAGGAUUUGAUUUAGGAUUUAGGAUUUUAUUAGGAUUUGAUUUAGGAUUAGAAUUUAUUUAAGAUUGUUUAGGUUUUGAUUACGAUUUGAUUAGAAUUUAUUUAGAAUUUGUUUAGAAUUUGGUUAGGAUUUAUUUAGGAUUUUUUAGGGUUUGGUUAGGAUUUGGUUAGAGUUUAUCUAGGAUUGUUUAGGAUUUGGUUAGGAUUUGAUUAGGAUUUGGUUAGGAUUUUUAGGGCUUGUUGUUACAAUUUUUUCUUUUAUCUUCUACAGCCAGGUGCUUGGUGCAUUCUCAAGCCAAAUACCACAUAAUACGACAGUGGCGAAAGAUUUAGCAAUUCAUUUGUCAAAGCUACAUGCAACGAUGAAGGUGCAAUUAAAAGUAGCUCAAGAAAAAGAAAAGGUCAAUGCGGAUGUCUAUCAAAAGGAACAACCACCAUUCCACAUGGGUGACUAGGUAUGGUUACUUUGUUGCAAUAUCAAGACCAUUCGUCCUUGUGAUAAGUUGGACUAUCAAAGGCUUAGACUAUUUUCUAUUUUUAUACAAAUCAAUCUUAUUGCAUAUCAUUUACACCUAU